RNAcentral lists this non-coding RNA (30 nucleotides) under Mus musculus (house mouse). The record is from RNAcentral. Lineage: Eukaryota; Metazoa; Chordata; Mammalia; Rodentia; Muridae.
CACAGGGCUGCUAGUAAAGGAUUCGAUUCC